RNAcentral lists this ribosomal RNA (468 nucleotides) under uncultured bacterium. Its description in RNAcentral is "partial 16S ribosomal RNA". It matches the Rfam family "Bacterial small subunit ribosomal RNA", at positions 28 to 507 of the family's 1533-position model. The record is from RNAcentral.
GACGAACGCUGGCGGCGUGCUUAACACAUGCAAGUCGAACGGAAAGGCCCUGCUUUUGUGGGGUGCUCGAGUGGCGAACGGGUGAGUAACACGUGAGUAACCUGCCCUUGACUUUGGGAUAACUUCAGGAAACUGGGGCUAAUACCGGAUAUGAGCUCCUGCUGCAUGGUGGGGGUUGGAAAGUUUCGGCGGUUGGGGAUGGACUCGCGGCUUAUCAGCUUGUUGGUGGGGUAGUGGCUUACCAAGGCUUUGACGGGUAGCCGGCCUGGGAGGGUGACCGGCCACAUUGGGACUGAGAUACGGCCCAGACUCCUACGGGAGGCAGCAGUGGGAAAUAUUGCACAAUGGGCGGAAGCCUGAUGCAGCAACGCCGCGUGCGGGAUGACGGCCUUCGGGUUGUAAACCGCUUUCGCCUGUGACGAAGCGGGAGUGACGGUAAUGGGUAAAGAAGCACCGGCUAACUACGUG